RNAcentral lists this ribosomal RNA (492 nucleotides) under uncultured bacterium. RNAcentral describes it as "partial 16S ribosomal RNA". It matches the Rfam family "Bacterial small subunit ribosomal RNA", at positions 29 to 507 of the family's 1533-position model. The record is from RNAcentral.
AGUGAACGCUGGCGGUAGGCCUAACACGUGCAAGUCGAACGGCAGCACAGUAAGAGCUUGCUCUUACGGGUGGCGAGUGGCGGACGGGUGAGGAAUACAUCGGAAUCUACUUUUUCGUGGGGGAUAACGUAGGGAAACUUACGCUAAUACCGCAUACGACCUACGGGUGAAAGCAGGGGAUCUUCGGACCUUGCGCGAUUGAAUGAGCCGAUGUCGGAUUAGCUAGUUGGCGGGGUAAAGGCCCACCAAGGCGACGAUCCGUAGCUGGUCUGAGAGGAUGAACAGCCAAACUGGAACUGAGACACGGUCCAGACUCCUACGGGAGGCAGCAGUGGGGAAUAUUGGACAAUGGGCGCAAGCCUGAUCCAGCCAUACCGCGUGGGUGAAGAAGGCCUUCGGGUUGUAAAGCCCUUUUGUUGGGAAAGAAAAGCAGCAGGUUAAUACCCCGCUGUUCUGACGGUACCCAAAGAAUAAGCACCGGCUAACUUCGUG